AAGGAAGAAAAGCACGACUUAGAUCUGCUCAACAGUUUGAUGAGAUCGGUGCUACAUUCUUUAUGACCAUGAACAAGUUUGAUAAGCCGAAUAUGCGAUGACACGCAUAGAGGUGCUGCUGUUAGGAUUCUAUUCUAUUGGGGUGUCUCAAUCGUACACAUUUAUUGUGCCGAUCUGUAGUGAAUUUUUUAGCCCUUCCCAACUCUAGCCCUUUGGCCCUGCAAAGUGCGACUGAAGAGAUGAGGGCAAACCUUACAGAUGCCGAGUCUGCAGGGCUGGAUUAGUGGUUCCAUGAUGCUCAGGCUGAAGAGAUUUACUGCCCUUGACAGUUGAAAUGCAUAACGACCAAACGCUGCGUAGUGAAGGAUAGAAAAUCAAAUACAUACGUACAUACAUAUAUACACGAAUAUAAAUCCGUUAUGUUUGCGUGAAAAACAUAUGGUAUUAUCGUUCACAGCUUUGCCACGUGCGACACUCAGGAUAUGAGGAAGUGUCAGGCAAAACUUGAAAAUGUGGCUUUAACAGUCGAUGUUUGUGUGGUCAAAUGGCAUGUUGGCCACAAUCUCAAGCUCGAAUUCAUUCAGGUUAAAUAUAUUGUUUUAACCCGGAAGGUCGCAGCUUUUCCCAUCCCAAGGAAAAUACCCUUACGUUACGCCACAACCCAAAUGAGAUAUUAUAAUUUCUAUCCAACAUGAGGAUUAAAGAACGUGGGGGUGGAGACUAUCAUCUGUGUGGCAGUUUGCAGGUGUACAGGUGUGCCUUUCAAGCUCACCCCUGUUAAGGAAUACAAUAAACAUGAAAAUUUAGCUACUGAUCCAGGAGUAAUAAUCAGCAAUUCAGCAAGGUUUUAUGAUUCACAUGGUACAGUGCAAUCAGGGGGUUGAAUUGAGACCAACCUCUCCAAGCUUGCUGUGACUUGGAUGUUCAAGUUUCGUCCAAGUGGACACAGUCGAACCAUGAAAAAGGUUUGGAAAUUUUAGUCCAGUCCCAAGUAAGGUGGAUUAAACGAUAGAAGAAAACAGACCUGGGAGAAUGAGUUCCGCAUGGCCGAAAGAUUGUUCCACCGAUCGAUCGUCUUGUCAAUGGACCAUGCAUAAAAACCAGACACAUUCACCGUAUGGAAGUCGAGGCAAAGAAACUGAUUCAUCUGCUUCCUCGAUACAAGUGUACUCUGAGCACACCGGUGACCCUUGUGCAAGCCCCCCCGACUGGGCUCACCACCCAUGUCUAAAAACUGUGCCUCCCCAAGACCGAAGUAUCUUUCGACAAAAAAAUAUUUUAAAGUGGAUGGGGGAAUAUAUAUCUCCAACACCCAGUGAAAGUUUCUGCGACUACAUUACGCGAUGCAUUGCGACUGCGGAGCAAGAGCUCAAGAUGCAAAAGAAGUUGCAUAUUGGGGACGACUACCACCACCAUGUGGAUAAGCUUGUGUUUAAGCUUUUCUAUGGUUCCCGGAUAGCAAUGCAACGACUCGGAAUACAACAGAAGCUUGGGACAGAGGAGCUUGUGUUGCGGUUGCUGAGAGAAGAGUGCGCAUCCCAGAUUAGUCAAGGAUUUUUGAGGCUUGACCCCAGUAGCUUCAACAAUUCAUCGAAAACGCCGACAUGGCCUUCCCGAGAAGAUGUCGCCCUCCAUACUGUCCAACAAAUGCCUCCAGGUGUUGAAAAUUUAGCAGAAAUGGAUUCUCGCUAGUCGAUUCAUGGUGAUUUAUGGCAGAGUUAUGUUGUGAGACUGUCGACUGUUAGAUUUACUUAGAUUGAGGUGAGACAGUGUGUGAAUUAUGUCCAGGGCAUUCGGUGUGCUUAAAGCAGUGAACCCAAGUGUGAUUGGUAAGUUCUUCUCAUUCAGUUGUCGUCCCCCCAAAUCUUCUCUUGAAUUUUCUGAAAAGAUUUAAGACUACAAUUACAUAAAUAAAACAUAUUGCAAAGUA
Physcomitrium patens is the source of this 1930-nucleotide non-coding RNA. The record is from RefSeq and is a predicted model, not a curated record. Lineage: Eukaryota; Viridiplantae; Streptophyta; Bryopsida; Funariales; Funariaceae.